This is a non-coding RNA of Macaca mulatta (Rhesus monkey), 995 nucleotides long. The record is from RefSeq and is a predicted model, not a curated record. NCBI's taxonomy places the organism in Eukaryota, Metazoa, Chordata, Mammalia, Primates, Cercopithecidae.
UUAUUGCCUUUAACCAGGUUAAAAAUCUUUUGUUCCAUCUGCAUCCAGGCAGAAUUGAUAAUUAUUCUGUGCAUGGUAGAGGAAUGAGGAGAAAUGAAAUGUUUGUGAAAAUGAAAGUAAUAGAUAAAUUUGCUUGAAGUGUUGUGGGAACUCUCUAGGGGGUGAAUAGAUGAUCUACCACUUUAAUUGUUCUGGUUGAGGUGAUGUGUUCUGUGUAAAGGUUCAGUGCAUUCUAACAGUAGUUGAAAAAGUGUUUACUCACGAGCUGGGUUUACCAGUGUUUCCGCCACUCCAAGUAAAACAUACUGAAGAAUCAGGUAGAAACAGGGCAUGGAGGAAACAGUGAGAACUUUUCCUGAAAGGGUCUGCUCCACUGGAGGGAAAUGUUUUCUGUGCAUUUCAAAGAAGCCAGCUAUCAUCACAGACAAUGCAGCAAAAAGAUUUCCAGCAACUGAAGGAAAAGAAUGCAAAAGAAAAAAAAGUUAAAGGAAGAGCUAGAGAUUCAUGUAAUAGGCCGUAACAUUUCUUACCCAUUGACAUUAGAUGUUUCUUCAACAUUUGUUUGCCCUCAGGAUAUCCAGACUCCAGUGAACUGUGCUGUCCGGCCAUCCAGUGCUUAGGCUCUGGCCUCAGAAAGGACUGAGUUGACUUCCUAUUCCCUGACUUCCGGCUUAUAGGACCUCAGGACUCCCAUGAUGAAAUCAGAAAGCAAGGGGUUGAACAAUGAGUGGGUGAAUUUGAAUUCCAUGGGUAUCUUCUAAGACACCCCUUAUCCUAACUAAUUUGAGACCAUUGGAAUUCAUUUCAGAAGACCCAGCUUCCGUUUAUGUUUUAUUUCUGAAUGUAGAACAGUUGGAGACCCCAACAUACUUCUUGACCUCCAUAGGUGAUGAACUCAGGAAUGUUGUAUCUUGAAUCGGAAACACCUUUGUCAUUGCAUUGCUUAUGAGCUAGAUAAAAAAUGACAUCUACAGAACUCUCCACCCCAAAUCAAC